AAACAUGUCUUAGAGAUUAUAAUUCUAAGUCUAAUCUGCUCCAUGAUUUAUAUUAAAUAGCUGCAGUAAUUUAACUGUACAAAGGUAGCAUAAUCAAUAGUUUUUUAAUUGAAAGCUGGAAUGAAUGAUUUAAUAAAAUAAAUAUUGUCUCAAAUUUAAGGAAAGUAGAAUUUUAUUUUUAGUAAAAAUUCUAAAAUAAAUUUAAAAGACGAGAAGACCCUAUAGAAUUUUAUAUUUAAAUUAUAAUUAAUUAAAGUUUUUAUAAUUAAAAUAUUAGGUUGGGGAAAUUAUUAAAUGAAAAAAAUUUUAAUUUUUAAUAAACAAUAAUUUUUGGUAAAUUGAUUUAUAAUAAUAAAUUUAAGAAUAAAUUACCUUAGGGAUAACAGCGUAAUUUUUUUAGAGAGAUCAUAUUAAUAAAAAAGUUUGCGACCUCGAUGUUGAAUUAAGAUAAAAUUUAAAUGUAGAAGUUUAAAAUUUUUGGUCUGUUCGACCAUUAAAAUCUUACAUGAUCUGAGUUCAAACCGGAGA
This 528-nucleotide ribosomal RNA is filed under the name Prosthoporus sp. BFS-2018. Its description in RNAcentral is "partial 16S large subunit ribosomal RNA". The stretch from base 379 to 528 matches the Rfam family "Bacterial large subunit ribosomal RNA", at positions 2473 to 2622 of the family's 2925-position model. The record is from RNAcentral. Lineage: Eukaryota; Metazoa; Arthropoda; Insecta; Hymenoptera; Ichneumonidae.